Molecule: ribosomal RNA, 460 nt
Filed under: uncultured bacterium
Lineage: Bacteria
Description: partial 16S ribosomal RNA
Rfam family: Bacterial small subunit ribosomal RNA
Source: RNAcentral
CCUACGGGCGACAGCAGUGGGGAAUAUUGCGCAAUGGCCGUAAGUCUGACCCAGCCACGUCGCGUGAGGGAUGAAGGUUCUCUGGUUUGUAACCUUCUUUUAUAGGGGAAUAAAGGUAUCCACGUGUUGAGAUUUGCAUGUACCCUAUGUAUAAUGAUCGGCUAACUCCGUGCCAGCCGCCGCGGUAAUACGGAGGGUGCGAGCGUUAUCCGGAUUUAUUGGGUUUAAAGGGUGCGUAGGUUGUUUUUUAAGUCAGCGGUGAAAGUUUGUGGCUCAACCAUAAAAUUGCCGUUGAUACUGGACGACUUGAGUGUGGUUGAGGGUGGCGGAAUGCGAGGUGUAGCAGUGAAAUGCAUAGAUAUCAGGAAGAACAGCGAUUGCGAAGGCAGCCUCCUAGACCAGUAUUGACACUGAGGCGCGAAAGCGUGGGGAGCAAACAGGAUUAGAUACCCGUGUAGUC